Molecule: ribosomal RNA, 479 nt
Filed under: uncultured organism
Description: partial 16S ribosomal RNA
Rfam family: Bacterial small subunit ribosomal RNA
Source: RNAcentral
ACGUACGCUCCUACGGGAGGCAGCAGUGGGGAAUUUUGGACAAUGGGCGAAAGCCUGAUCCAGCAAUGCCGCGUGAGUGAAGAAGGCCUUCGGGUUGUAAAGCUCUUUUGUCAGGGAAGAAACGGUGAAAGCUAAUAUCUUUUGCUAAUGACGGUACCUGAAGAAUAAGCACCGGCUAACUACGUGCCAGCAGCCGCGGUAAUACGUAGGGUGCAAGCGUUAAUCGGAAUUACUGGGCGUAAAGCGUGCGCAGGCGGUUUUGUAAGUCUGAUGUGAAAUCCCCGGGCUCAACCUGGGAAUUGCAUUGGAGACUGCAAGGCUAGAAUCUGGCAGAGGGGGGUAGAAUUCCACGUGUAGCAGUGAAAUGCGUAGAUAUGUGGAGGAACACCGAUGGCGAAGGCAGCCCCCUGGGUCAAGAUUGACGCUCAUGCACGAAAGCGUGGGGAGCAAACAGGAUUAGAAACCCGUGUAGUCCCAUG